CAGACUGGUAUAAGGUUCUGGCAUGCUUUUAUCAAGGAAUGUUGACACACAUCUGCUUAAAAUCAUUUAAGUUUAUCAUCUCCACUGACUCAUAGGGCAGCAUACACAGAAAAGCAGGAGGAUGAGGUAAUCAUCACUCAACAGAAAGUACAGCUCAAAGAUCCAGAAAAGUCUCGAUGUGCUGGAUAUGCUCAGAGCUAUUAACUGCUUUGUGGCUGUUGCUGUCCUAUUGAAGGAUAAGAGAAGUAGGUAGAGGAAUGGCUGUAUGAGGCAGUGCCCAGCUCAAGAAUGAGCCUGCGCUGCUGGCCGGAGGCCCGCCUUUCGAAGCCAGACGUGAUGCUGGAGGCUGCAAGGACAAGGACAACACAUGGGUUCCAACAAGACCCUCAGCUCCUGGGGAACACGUGGCAACGGUCAGAAGCCAAUGGGCACAAACAUCAUCAGGCAUUAAGCGGCAUCAAACCACGCAUGCGUAAAACACCCCGCUCACAAAGUGGGAAGCUGUGAAUCCAAUUCAACCUGUGGAUAUAUUUUAUUUAAUUCCUGACAGUUUCACU
Prionailurus viverrinus (fishing cat) is the source of this 557-nucleotide long non-coding RNA. RefSeq lists it as uncharacterized. The transcript has 3 exons. NCBI's taxonomy places the organism in Eukaryota, Metazoa, Chordata, Mammalia, Carnivora, Felidae. The record is from RefSeq and is a predicted model, not a curated record.